UACAGAGGGUGCGAGCGUUGUCCGGAAUCACUGGGCGUAAAGGGCGCGUAGGUGGCUUGGUUAGCGUGUGGUGAAAGCCCGGGGCUCAACCCCGGGUCUGCCGUGCGAACUGCCAAGCUCGAGCAGAGUAGAGGCAGGUGGAAUUUCGGGUGUAGCGGUGGAAUGCGUAGAUAUCCGAAAGAACACCAGUGGCGAAGGCGGCCUGCUGGGCUCUUGCUGACACUGAGGCGCGACAGCGUGGGGAGCAAACAGG
Molecule: unclassified non-coding RNA, 253 nt
Filed under: uncultured Gemmatimonadaceae bacterium
Lineage: Bacteria; Pseudomonadati; Gemmatimonadota; Gemmatimonadia; Gemmatimonadales; Gemmatimonadaceae
Description: contains 16S-23S intergenic spacer region
Rfam family: Bacterial small subunit ribosomal RNA
Source: RNAcentral